This 1475-nucleotide long non-coding RNA is filed under the name Coccomyxa subellipsoidea. Its description in RNAcentral is "long non-coding RNA (CSUB_LNC000470)". Lineage: Eukaryota; Viridiplantae; Chlorophyta; Trebouxiophyceae; Coccomyxaceae. The record is from RNAcentral.
UGUGGUGCGCGUGGACAGCGGGCCCAUGAGCGAGGGGCUCUGGGCUGCCUUGGCUGCCUCCGUGUCCAUGCGCGGCGUUGCCAUGAUGCCCACCUCGUCCUCAAAGCCGCUGUUUGUGCGUUGGGUAGGCGUUGACUGCCGCUCCGGCAGCUCUGCACGGCACACAUGUCAUAGGUCAGGGGCAGAACAAGUACAUACAGUAUCAGUCCGAGGGUCAAAUAGGUGCGGCCCUGCAAAGAGCAAGUGGUGUAAGGGGCAGCAACAUCUUUGCCCAAGCGAGGCAUGCGCUUACGUGCCUGACCUUCCUAUCAGGUGCCUUCAUAUGCAGCAGGUCAAGCUGGCACCGUAAGGGCCAAUGGAAUACAUAUCGGCAAAACCAUCAAAAUGCACAACAUAAUUAAGCUGGACUUAUGCCCGACACACAUUGAGUUACAAGAACAAGCAGCAAGCUGGAGACAUUGGACAUAUGCAAGACUCGGGACAUAUGCAAAAAGGUGAAUAUGCUGACCUGUGACAAUAUUGUCGGAGGAUUCCAGGUCAGCGGAAGCGACGCUGACAGGUGAGCUGGCGUCCACGCUGGCAUGCCGGUCGAUGGUCUGCGGGGGAGUUGUCACGUGCGAGGGGUCUGUUGCCGUCAGGCCAUGCUUCGGGGACUGCUGAGGUGUGACCUCUGACGCUGCUGCAGAUGUGCUGGCUUCGUGAGCUGUAGAUACCUGCUGCUCUGCUGAGGGGACUGCACUGCUGCUAGGCUGUUCCAGUGCCUGAGGAGUCACCUGCAUCAAACAUGAGGCAAUUUUGGUCUUGUAUCAACGAACAUUUCUUGUGCAUUCUAACGUAUUAAAUUCCAUGCAGGAAAGAAAGUUCACAAGAGAGAAACGUUCAAUGUAUGCAGGGACUUGCAAAUGCACGUCACCUGGGCCUUGCUUAGGGGUCACAUGACACUGGUGCAAAAGAGGCACACAAUGUGGACAGGUCAGCUUACCCUGUGCUCAAUGUGGGGUACACUGGUGGAUUGUUCAGGGCCUUCGCGCUCCCUCAGAGACGGCUGGCUGGGCAGGGCACGAGCCUCGUGCAGCACGGGUGUGGGCACAUGGUAUGCUGCGCUGGAUCCGCUCGGACCUGGCCAGUCGAACACAUUGCAUAAGAACUCCUAAAUACGAAUCAUUCAGUACAUUGUCAUUGGCGAUGCUGCCACAGAAUCAUCAAGAGCGUAGCAAAUACUCAAGAGCGUAGCAAAUACUCAUAAACACCCAUUGUGGAGGUGUGGACAUGCAUUAACACUGUUCAGAGCUUCUGGGGCUGCUGGGUGAUGCAAUCUGCUGCAUGAAGCUUGCACCAUAGCCACACGGUAAAUUGCAAAGGGACAGGCUGCCAAGGCGCAGGUGCACAAAUGGUACCCGGAGCAUCUGGGGCAUUGAGUCAUGUGUACACACCUGCAGCGUCUGGGUUGCUGGGCCCUGCUUCGCUGUAGCUAG